RNAcentral lists this ribosomal RNA (467 nucleotides) under Turritopsis dohrnii. RNAcentral describes it as "partial 16S ribosomal RNA". It matches the Rfam family "Bacterial large subunit ribosomal RNA", at positions 1974 to 2595 of the family's 2925-position model. The record is from RNAcentral. Lineage: Eukaryota; Metazoa; Cnidaria; Hydrozoa; Anthoathecata; Oceaniidae.
AUUUAAUUGAUGGAUAGUAUGAAUGGUUAAACGAAUAUUACACUGUCUCAAGUAAAAAUUUUAUGAAAUUAAGAUAAUAGUUAAGACGCUAUUUCAAACUGUAAGACGAAAAGACCCUAUAGAGCUUAACUAUAAACUUUUUUGAUAAAGAUCAUCNUAAAAUGAUCAUAAAAGAAAGUUAGGUAGUUUAGUUGGGGCGACUGUCUUCUAAAAAGAACGAAGACUAGCAAAGUUAAUAAAAAUAACUUAUUGUUUAAUAAAUUUAUUUAACAAUUACAAAAGUAGGCUAUAAUGACCCAUUGAAUUUAAGAAAGUAAAUCAAUGAUUAAAAAAUAAAAGCUACCUUAGGGAUAACAGGAUAAUUUUGUUUUAGAGAUCAUAUCGAAGACAAAGUUUGUCACCUCUAUGUUGAAUUGAGAUAUCCUGAUAAUGCAGAAGUUUCAAAGGUAGGCUGUCGACCUUAAAUC